AGAGUUUGAUCCUGGCUCAGAUUGAACGCUGGCGGCAGGCCUAACACAUGCAAGUCGAGCGGAUGAGAAGAGCUUGCUCUUCGAUUCAGCGGCGGACGGGUGAGUAAUGCCUAGGAAUCUGCCUGAUAGUGGGGGACAACGUUUCGAAAGGAACGCUAAUACCGCAUACGUCCUACGGGAGAAAGCAGGGGACCUUCGGGCCUUGCGCUAUCAGAUGAGCCUAGGUCGGAUUAACUAGUUGGUGGGGUAAUGGCUCACCAAGGCGACGAUCCGUAACUGGUCUGAGAGAUGAUCAGUCACACUGGAACUGAGACACGGUCCA
This 322-nucleotide ribosomal RNA is filed under the name Pseudomonas putida. RNAcentral's name for it is "bacterial SSU rRNA". It matches the Rfam family "Bacterial small subunit ribosomal RNA", at positions 8 to 333 of the family's 1533-position model. Lineage: Bacteria; Pseudomonadati; Pseudomonadota; Gammaproteobacteria; Pseudomonadales; Pseudomonadaceae. The record is from RNAcentral.